Boleophthalmus pectinirostris (great blue-spotted mudskipper) is the source of this 164-nucleotide long non-coding RNA. RefSeq lists it as uncharacterized. Lineage: Eukaryota; Metazoa; Chordata; Actinopteri; Gobiiformes; Gobiidae. The transcript is spliced from 3 exons. The record is from RefSeq and is a predicted model, not a curated record.
ACCCUCUGGAGAAUUCCCUCUGCUGGGCCAAGUUCCAAAAAUGUAGAGACAGACCCUCUAUUGUUUCUUUCAAAACCUGCUGUGGUGGUUUAAAGACUGACCCUCUGUAAGUGCAUCUCUCCAAUCAAGUGUUUACCUUUCAUGUUCACAUCACACAGCCACUG